GUCUACGGCCAUACCACCGUGAACGUGCCUGAUCUUGUCUGAUCUCAGAAGCUGAGCAGGGUCAGGUCUGGUUAGUGCUUGGAUGGGAGAUUGCUGUAUUGC
This 102-nucleotide ribosomal RNA is filed under the name Chinchilla lanigera (long-tailed chinchilla). Lineage: Eukaryota; Metazoa; Chordata; Mammalia; Rodentia; Chinchillidae. The record is from RNAcentral.